CCCUUAGAUGUUCUGGGCCGCACGCGUGCUACACUGAGUGGAUCAGCGGGUCAGGUUGCGCGAAAGUGUUUCCUAAUCUUUAAAUCCGCUCGUGAUGGGGAUUGACGGUUGCAAUUUUCCGUCAUGAACGAGGAAUACCUUGUAAGCGCGGGUCAUCAUCCCGCGCUGAAUACGUCCCUGCCCUUUGUACACACCGCCCGUCGCUCCUACCGAUUGAGUGGUCCGGUGAGGCUUUGGGAUCUGAGCGGAAAGAGCGUUUCGCUGUUUCUGCCCGGAAAACUCAGUCGAACCUUAUCAUUGAGAGGAAGGAGAAGGCGUAACA
Molecule: ribosomal RNA, 322 nt
Filed under: uncultured eukaryote
Lineage: Eukaryota
Description: partial 18S ribosomal RNA
Rfam family: Eukaryotic small subunit ribosomal RNA
Source: RNAcentral